Long non-coding RNA from Archocentrus centrarchus (flier cichlid), 280 nucleotides. RefSeq lists it as uncharacterized. The transcript has 3 exons. Lineage: Eukaryota; Metazoa; Chordata; Actinopteri; Cichliformes; Cichlidae. The record is from RefSeq and is a predicted model, not a curated record.
GCAGCCUGACGCACACUCUGCUUCCUGUGGUGUGCGUCUACCUCUCGUUGUUUUCAGCUCUUCUGCUCUGUCUUUUGGGAAGCAGCAAAGAUCAAAUCGACCCUGUGGUUGUGCUGUACACUGACGUCACCAACACACUGAAGUGCAAGAGAAAAGGUCGAGUACUGAAGAAGAGAAGGAGGUCUUCUUUAUUAUCUUCUGAGGUUGAAUACAGACUCGUUUGUAGACAGAUGCUUUACCCUGUGCAGACUUACAAAGCCGACAGCUGAUGAGGGGAAAU